Long non-coding RNA from Pomacea canaliculata, 802 nucleotides. RefSeq lists it as uncharacterized. The record is from RefSeq and is a predicted model, not a curated record. Lineage: Eukaryota; Metazoa; Mollusca; Gastropoda; Architaenioglossa; Ampullariidae. The transcript is spliced from 3 exons.
UUGCUUUUUUGUGUGGGUGGGGAUGGGUAUUCGCAUACACAUCACGUGACAGGGAUAUGAAAUUAGUAAUAAAAAGAUAUGUCGCAUUACUGAUGCAUAUUUCUGUCGCUCGAUGUUUACGAGUGGAACAAAUGCCGGUAAACCGACUUCCUUAUAUCGCACGCCCGGUAGAAAUACACCCAGGCGACAUAUUUGAAAGGAGUUGUUCACAUUGAGAGAAGCCUGAUUUCUUAUUUCCCGGCAACCUUAAUCUCAGGGGUAUCGGGCCAGCUGUGCCGGGUAUACGUCGCGUCAAACAACUGGUCAGGCGGCUCCACCAGGCUUGUGUCGCGGACUCUGAUUGGACGGUGGACAGUAGUGCCUGGAGGAGCUGCCGAGAGAGCCACAGAAUGUUUGCUUAGGCAGGACUUGACUGCCGUAACCCAGGGCCCGGGUGAUUUAUGACAACCAAUUACCUGCCCUUGCCAGUGCCGCAUGGCUUUAUGGGAACGGUGGCGAACCACAGUGUACAUGGCUUGUCCUCCUGUAGGAUGUUCUGUCAACUUCAGCAGUCGCCAUGUCUCUUCCUGCGUUCCUAAGGAGCUGGAGUGGUCCUACAAGACUGGAAGGGACCCCCUUCAUUCGUCUGCCGCACAUAGGGACGAAAUUUCGUCUGGGUGGAGACGCUGGUGUUCCCGCAGGUUGGCCAGUACUUGCUGCACGUGAAUGCCAGCAACCAGUAUGGCUGGGAUAGUCGGUCCCUGCGCGUGGUGGCGGUGGACAGAAGACUGGGUCAGGCACGCCUCACGCUGCAGGACGCCGC